UCUGAGCAGAACUUUUCUGAAAGCUGAAGAGUUGGAGAGACGUUUUAAAACAUUACUAGAACUUUCCACAACCUGCAAAUAAGCUCACGGACUCUCAAUCGAUAAAACAAACUUUUACCUACAGCUUUAAUUAAUGCUUCUCUGGUUAUUUUUGUGCUCUAAUUAUUUAUUUUACAUUGUGUGUUGUAUAUAUUUACCUAAAGCUUUUUCUUGAUUUUUCAAUAACUGCUUAAAUUAAGACUUUUGGUCCAUUUAGCACUCUGGUCCAGGGAUGGUUAUCUCAAGGUGCACGAUGAACCCAUUAGCUUUUAAAGCUUUCUUUGGCCUUCAUAUUACCUUUUUUCUUCAUCACUCAAAGGUCCACUUCUUGGCUGUUUUCUGAACCUCCAGCUACAUCUCAGAGCUUUGGGUGAGGUGUGUUUUUGUGUUUUUCACUUGUUCUUUAUAGUCCAGCUCUGUUACCCAGGAUAAUAAAAAUAGACUUGAUCUAGGAGCAGAGAAAAAUCUGUGUUGUCAAACCCACUGAGUGUGUGAAUACACGCCAGCAUCGCAGGAUAUUUAUCCAGUCUUCCAAGAACAACAGGAAAGUGAAAAUUAUGCCAUCCAGAAGAGCUAAAAUGUUUUUUUGGCCACAAAACCUUGAGUAAAAACACGACUUUACCCCGGCUUGCUUAAUAUGUGAUACACAGAGGGGCCUGUUUUUUUGGCUUUAACUUGUUCUACGUGCUUCGUUACUUAUUCAGUUUUAAUGAGUAACAAUAGUCAAAUCCUGUCUUUAACCUCCUAAGACCCGAACUCUUCCACGACAUGCAUUUUUAAUUUCUCUUUGAUAUUUGGGCUGAUUGGGACCCGAUGAAUGUAAAAACAAAGAAUUACCAGAUUUUUAUUUUUUUUUACCUGAUUUUUGUUUCUAAGAAAAAUGAGAGCCACAUAUGAGGAUAUUCAUUUAAAAUUUCGAUAGACCAUUGGCAGUAUAAUGUCCUCGUAAGUGGAUAUCAGGCCCCUGUACACCAAAAUUGAAUAUUUUGGUCUAAAUAAGCCAAAAUGUGAUGUCCACAUAUGUGGACGCCAGGUCCUAGGAGGUUAAACUAACUGUUGCUGAAUUUCUGUGCUGCCUGAUAAACAAAGAAGAACAACAUUCAGAAUGACGUUCGUAUGUUUUCUUUUUUCUUUGUUGACGGGGUGGUUAUUUAUCUUGUUUUGGUGCAAAGCUUUGAGGCUCGAUGAAAAAAUGAUCAAUUUAAAGUACACUUUUCAUCUUGUGUAUGUUUCCUACAUUUAAAUUAUGUUGUUGUAAUGUCUGGGUGCUACGGUGCUGUCGCAUUUGCUGAUUUAUGUAAGCAUUAAUCGAUUUUUUUUUGUUUAAUUUAAUUCAAUUUUCCGUUUCAGUCAUUCAGGUCAUGUGAUGAAGCUUUAAGGAGACGUGGUUGAAGGAUGUGGGAAAAAGCCUUUUAGAGGGCCUUUGAGCAAGCAUUAUCACACAAACUGUUCACAGGGUCCCAGAUGAACUUUUAAUGCUUUAAUAUGUUUGUUUUUCUGUCCAACACACUGAGCACUGGAGCCUCUAGAGGGCAGUAGCAGGACUUUUGGCUGUCAGUCUGGUGUACUGCUAGCAGAUAGCUUCUUUUAGCACUUUUAACCUUCAGGUUAUUGUUUUCACAGUUGCACUGGAAACCAGAGAAAAUGUUAAUGUUACUAAUGAUGUCAUGGUGUCUCCUCAUCAAACUGUAUAACAAAUACUCUGAUGUAACGCGAUGUCACAGGAAAGCAGUCAGAUACUGUGCAGACAGGUCUACCUGAGGAACACGUGCCCGCUCAGGUAAAAGGCAGCAUGUGAUUGGUCAGAUUAACACUGGUGUCAGUCUUAAUGACUUUGGAGUUGAAGGAUGGGUUCAUAUUUUAUUUGCAGCCAGUACGGACAACAUUAUCAACGACACUGAGCAAUGCCUCACAGACAUGUGAUUUCUGUGUUACAGUAGACUUGAGGAAAUGUGAACCCAUCCUUUAAUGGUAAAAGUGGUCUACUACUGGAUAAAUGUGCUCAUUUUCUUAAAACUUUACAUUAAUUUCUUCUACAGGGUUAUUGGGUGAUGUAAACAUCAGAAGCGCAGCAUGUGGUGGCCUUCACAUGAUAGCCUGGUGGCAGCAUUGUCUGUGUCCUCUAUGCUUUGUUGGGAACUCUUCCAUAGCUUCACCUUCUUGAGCUAGUCUUGGCUGCUGUAGCUCCUCAUUGGCUUUCUUUAGUCCUUUGACCUUGAAGUUAGUCUUUUGUAGGAAAUUCCACAUGGAUGUUGCCCACAGCAGCUGACUUUAGUCUAGAAAUGAGGACGCACACUAUACUUUGGAAAUGGCCUCAACAACCAGACACUGGAACCUGGCUUGUUGCAGUUCAUGGGAAGUUUUUGUACAUCUAGAUAGGUUAGAGUGUGAUCCCUACUACCUCUUUAAGCUUCUUUAUGAGGUCUGAAUUCUUUUCUGUCAGUCAGAAGCUUGAAGUCAGAAGUGGAGGACAGUGGAAAACUAGCUUUGACCCUCUGGAAGUCUGUUUGUGGUGUCUGUGAGGACCUUAUCAUCCCACCACCUACGGCGCUUUUUGACAUCCAGUUAAGAUGUUGCUCAGGCUGCAUGAGCCUGGCUGACACCGCUUGCAGGAUGCAUCCUUUUCCUUGUCUCAGGCAAUAAAGCUGCUUGGGAUUGGAAAGAGGUUAGUCACAGCACACAUAAGGAAGUCCAGCAUGCCCUGCUCACAGCCCCAGAGCUCCUUCCAGGACUGCAAUGGCUCUACUGCUUCAAACCUAUCCUCAUAUUGCAUUGGGUGUUAACACCUACUGACUCUAUGUGUUAGUCUUCUUUUUAAACUCUCAGCAGCAUGAGUUGCCUCUUGACUUUGGCUUUGUUAGACCUGACCAAUGAUUUUCUAGUGUUUCAAAUAUUCUUCUGCCUCCCUCACUGCUUGAAACAGUAGUGCUUAUUAAAGGAUGGUUUCUUUCUCUUUGGUUUUUGGAGGUUAUCUCUGGUUUCAUAUACUUAAUUAGAAAUUUAGCACAUUUAGAAAUGAUCAAUAGCUAACACGAGCACAUUUACAGCAUUGGUGUGAAUGUCACUACGCUGUUUUUAUGUAAAUACUUUUGUUGCCAUGGCAAGAAAAAAGCACACCAGGCCUCACAGCUAAAAGACUGUAUCAGAAAGAGAAACACGAGCAGAAAAAGUCAGUAACCCUCACAUUUGGAAAUCGUCAUCGUCAAUAUUGAAUUUUCUGUGUUUUCAAGUGGUCAGUAUUUUAAAUGUCUUCCUGCCUCUUCCUGAAGAACUUGAAGCCUCUCAGUCUUCCAGUAACAAACAAACAGUUUGUGUUUGUGUGUGUGUGUGUGUGUGUGUUUUCUAUGCAGUAACUGAUCUCACAGCUCAGUAACUUACUUCAGUUCUUGUGUGUCAAAUCUGUGUUAAUGAUGGCUGUCUGACUCUUCUACAUCAAAUCAGCUGUUCUCAACUUCCUGUCCCAUGAUGUCAUCAGGGUGCAAUAUUGAACUGAUCAGAUGCUGCUUUUCUCAGCACUUAAGGCUUGGUAGACUUUACAUUCGGGGGCCUGUAGUUGCAACACUGGUAUGAAUUAAACUGGGAUGCACUGUUUAAAUGGUGAGUGUGUUUGUGUUUGAGUGUGUGUGCAUUCUUGGAAUAAAUGUUGACUAUUUGCUUUCAACAAAAGAGCCCAUUUCCAUGAACAUCAAUGUCAUGCAAACAGUGAAGUAAAUUAAAUGUUUAAAGGAGCGGUUCACCCAAACUACUACACACAGGGCUUCUUCUUUUUCUUUUUAAGCAUCUCAUAUAUUUGAGAUAACUACAAAACAUAGUUUGGUGGAGUGUUAUAUGUGUUAUUUGUCAAUUUUCGCCAAAUAUAUUUUAAAAGCGCAUUCAGGUUUGAAAGUGGGAAGGAAAAACUGGUGACGCACACGGUUCAGCUUCGAUACAUUUAGCCAGCCCUCUUCAUUCAAAUCCUUCACGGUUGACCUUGAAUGGAAAUGUUUGAAGUGCGCUCAGAGAUGAAUGUGAAAGAUGUCUCCCUUUAUAUUCCAGUCUUCCUGCUUUAGAGAACCCUUGUCAGCUUCUUUUUUUAACGAAAAUUGUUUAUUAUGAUGUGAAUAUGCAAAUUAUAUUAUGCAACAUUUCUCAUAUUUUAUUCCUGUAAAAAAUUGUUUUCAUUAAAAACUGCUGUAUAUCCUACA
Astatotilapia calliptera (eastern happy) is the source of this 4223-nucleotide long non-coding RNA. The record is from Ensembl. NCBI's taxonomy places the organism in Eukaryota, Metazoa, Chordata, Actinopteri, Cichliformes, Cichlidae.